This is a long non-coding RNA of Ixodes scapularis (black-legged tick), 728 nucleotides long. RefSeq lists it as uncharacterized. Lineage: Eukaryota; Metazoa; Arthropoda; Arachnida; Ixodida; Ixodidae. The transcript has 2 exons. The record is from RefSeq and is a predicted model, not a curated record.
GAAGCGGGAGAAUCGCUUCGUUUCCCGCGUUUUGACCGUUGUUUACCUUUUCGGCUCCUGGUGUUCCUGCAACCUUCGCAAGUCCACCUCCAUUUGUCGUGAUUCCCCGUUUCUGAGCGUUGAUUUUCCCUUCUUGGUGUCUUGUUGAUUUUUUUACGUAUGUAUUUCUUUCGCGAGAUUCCGAUUGCCUGUGUAUUUAGCCCAAAACUCGGUGUACCACGUGCUUUGAUAUCUGGGGGUUCCGUGACUGGGGCAACUGGGGUUUUUUGUGGAAAGACCUUCGGCAUUUUCCUAUUGAAACCAGACGUGGCUGUCGAGAUUCAGUCGAUUCGUUCUUUUUGCGGCGAUUAAUCGUCUGUUCGUCAUGACUGCUGGAUUGACGGUCAUCCUCCCGAGGCAAAGCAGCCCGCGGUGGACGUGCCGAGGUUCUGCGGGAAAGAGCAAGGAUGACCGGGAGACCAACACUUUCUGCAGGAGCCACAAGGCAGGCCAUGGUUUCAUCGAACAGCCGGGAGUAGAGCGGGAUGCUGAAGGAUAGCGGCGCUCACUUCAGUGAGCCCAGCUUGAACCCCACCAUUGGCGUCCUGGGCACCACUCUGAAUAAGCUGCUUCAGCUGUGACUUGUAGCACAAAGUUUCUGUCACCCAGUUCAUCGUCAUCUCGGAACCAAAGGCAUUGGUCCUGCCUGCUAGUCACCACUUGAAUAAAAGUUGGAAUGGUGCAGUGUG